UACAGAGGGUGCGAGCGUUAAUCGGAAUUACUGGGCGUAAAGCGUGCGCAGGCGGUUUCUUAAGUCAGAUGUGAAAGCCCCGGGCUUAACCUGGGAACUGCGUUUGAAACUGGGAGACUUGAGUGUGGCAGAGGGGGGUGGAAUUCCACGUGUAGCAGUGAAAUGCGUAGAUAUGUGGAGGAACACCGAUGGCGAAGGCAGCCCCCUGGGUCAACACUGACGCUCAUGCACGAAAGCGUGGGGAGCAAACAGG
Molecule: ribosomal RNA, 253 nt
Filed under: uncultured bacterium
Lineage: Bacteria
Description: partial 16S ribosomal RNA
Rfam family: Bacterial small subunit ribosomal RNA
Source: RNAcentral